Molecule: long non-coding RNA, 883 nt
Organism: Macrobrachium nipponense
Lineage: Eukaryota; Metazoa; Arthropoda; Malacostraca; Decapoda; Palaemonidae
Exons: 2
Source: RefSeq, a predicted model, not a curated record
UGCAUAGAAUAUUCUGCCAAACAACUACGGCAAUCAAGUUUUUGCUGACACGUUCUGCUUUUAAAUGCGACGGAUAAAAACAAGUUUCACUUUGAAUAACUCCAAGAGGAGAAAGGGCCGCUUUGUCUUUUAUUCUCGACCCAAUUCAAGGAACAAGGAUGUGAACGAAAUCUACUUGCGAAGGUCACUCGGCAAAUAAUACGUCCACUAUAUAAGACGUUCCACGAUCUGGCAUCAUCACCUCACUCUCUCUCUCGACAGCCGUGGUAGCAAAGAUGAUGAAGUUCCUGUGGUUGCUGAUUGUGGUCGUGGCCCUCGUGGCUGCCGACGAUAGCAGCGACGACGACAACGCUGACGGAGUCCAGGGGCGCACUGGCGCUGCUGCUGGAGCCUCUGGGGACAAGAGGUUCUUCGGACUCGGUGGCCUGCCCAUUGGAGGGGGAUUCGGAUUCCAGGGAGGACUGGGAUUCGGAGGGGGACUUGGAGGUGGAUUUGGCCUCGGAGGGGGACUUGGAGGUGGAUUCCCCAUCGGAGGGGGACUUGGUGGACUUGGCGUCGGUUGCCGCUACUGGUGCCCGGCCAUCUACGGUCAGUACCUCUGCUGCGACCAUCUUAACCCCAACAACUUCCUCUAGGAGCAAGAGCCCGUGCUGGCAAAAGGCCACCUCAACUCCAACAACUUUCUCAAAUAAGUCUGUAGUACCUGAGAUGCUCCACUUUGAGGCAACCAUCAGCUAGAUAUCUUCUUGACCAAUGUUCUUCAUUUGCCAAAUACCUGCAUUUCCCUGUACAAAGCUCCCUUUGUAUUUAAUGUAAAUAACCGAGUGAAGUCAAUAUUCUUGGUGUUUCCAAGAAUCCGCAAUAAAUACCAAAAUGUAACAUC